UCUGUAUUCCAGGCUGGUUUUGAACUCACAUGAUCCUCCUGCCUGAACCUACCAAGUGCUGGGAUGACAGGCAUGCGCCUCCACAGCUGGCAUAUUCCCUGUUGUUUUAAUGGCCAAACACCUGAUGAUACCAUUUUUUUCCACCAAAAUACCAUGUUAUGAAUUAUGGUAUGAUAUAAAAUCAUAAUACCCACAUAUGGAACUUAAGUAGUUUACAUAUUCCACAGCAGAAUUUUCUCCAGUGCUAUAUAGCAUGACAUAGGAUUCUGUGCCUUUUGUUAAAAAGUACUCAAGAUUUAUUCAGGGGUAGUCGUCUGUUUUUUUUUUUUUUUUUGGUACUGGGGAUCGAACUUGGGUACUUGCGCUUGCGAGGCAGGUGGCAGAACCACUGAGCUAAAUCCCUGGCAUUCAGGGGUAGUCUUAAUGAUGUGUGGCUGGAGGUUGAGUAGCAAUUUAUUUUGUGACAUCUUUCAGGCUUUAAGUUAAAGGAAAUCACCUCUCAAAUUUGUGUAACGUACUCACUGAUCAGUGUAACCCUAAUUUUUCUUAAUAUUUGUCUAAAGCACAGUAGUAGUGAUGCUGGCAAUUCAGAUAUGCCAAAGAAAACCCAUAAAGUGGAUCCUUUAAGUAUCAUCAUCUAUUACAGAUGGGUUGUUGCGGUACAAGAUAUUUUGAGAGACUACACUUAAAUAACUUUUAUUAUAGUACAUUGUUAUAAUUGUCGGUUUUUAUUAAGUAUUAUGGUUAACCUCUUACAUUGCUAAUUUGUAAAUUAAAUAUCAUGAUAUGUAUCUAUAGGAAAAACAUGGUAUAUAUAAGGUUUGGUAACAUGUGCGAUUUCAGGAAUUCACACUAGGAAUUCCUAGUGGUCCCGGAACACAUCCAAGGAUAAAGAGGAACUACCGUAGAAGUUUUAAAAGUAUCUAAAAUAAAACUUCAGAGCUCUUCAUUCAAUCUUUUGAGAGCUUCAUGUAAACCAUCAUGUGGGAUGAAUCAGCUGCACAUGCCAGCUCUUCCUUCCUCUACUACAGGUCCUGGUUGCUAUGGCUUCUCAUUAGCUUCUUAAGAUCCCUUUGGAGCCCUGGUUGCCUGGCAGGAGAAAAGGCAGAAGCUGCUAGAAGCUGUGAGGACAGAUGCAAGCUGCAGAAGUAGCCCCUGGGGGAACACUGGG
RNAcentral lists this long non-coding RNA (1171 nucleotides) under Heterocephalus glaber (naked mole-rat). RNAcentral's name for it is "lncRNA (ENSHGLG00100036045.1)". The record is from RNAcentral. Lineage: Eukaryota; Metazoa; Chordata; Mammalia; Rodentia; Bathyergidae.